GCUACGGGCGGCAGCAGUCGAGAAUCAUUCACAAUGGGGGAAACCCUGAUGGUGCGACGCCGCGUGGGGGAAUGAAGGUCUUCGGAUUGUAAACCCCUGUCAUGUGGGAGCAAAUUAAAAAGAUAGUACCACAAGAGGAAGAGACGGCUAACUCUGUGCCAGCAGCCGCGGUAAUACAGAGGUCUCAAGCGUUGUUCGGAAUCACUGGGCGUAAAGCGUGCGUAGGCUGUUUCGUAGGUCGUGUGUGAAGGGGGCGGGCUCAACCCGCGGACGGCACAUGAUACUGCGAGACUAGAGUAAUGGAGGGGGAACCGGAAUUCUCGGUGUAGCAGUGAAAUGCGUAGAUAUCGAGAGGAACACUCGGGGCGAAGGCGGGUUCCUGGACAUUAACUGACGCUGAGGCACGAAGGCCAGGGGAGCGAAAGGGAUUAGAUACCCGGGUAGUC
Molecule: ribosomal RNA, 446 nt
Filed under: uncultured bacterium
Lineage: Bacteria
Description: partial 16S ribosomal RNA
Rfam family: Bacterial small subunit ribosomal RNA
Source: RNAcentral